Molecule: ribosomal RNA, 2905 nt
Filed under: Paramuribaculum intestinale
Lineage: Bacteria; Pseudomonadati; Bacteroidota; Bacteroidia; Bacteroidales; Muribaculaceae
Description: 23S ribosomal RNA
Rfam family: Bacterial large subunit ribosomal RNA
Source: RNAcentral
AAAGGAAAGGAGAGAAGGGCACAUGAAGGAUGCCUUGGCUCUCGGAGGCGACGAAGGACGUGACAAGCUGCGAUAAGCUGCGGUUGGAGGCAAAUACUCAUCAAGCCGCAGAUCUCCGAAUGGGGCAACCCGGCGCGCGAAGAGUGCGUCACCGGUCUGUGACCGGAGCGAACCCGGGGAACUGAAACAUCUCAGUACCCGGAGGAAGAGAAAACAAUAGUGAUUGCGCAAGUAGUGGCGAGCGAACGCGCAAUAGCCCAAACCGCCGGCGUGGCGACGCGUCUGGCGGGGUUGUAGGACCGCCGGUAAAGUGAUGGAAUACGGUUAGCCGAACACGCUGGAAAGCGUGGCCAAAGCGGGUGACAGCCCCUUAGGCGAAAACUGUGAUUCCGGGCGAGGCGGCACCUGAGUAGCGCGGGACACGAGAAAUCCUGUGUGAAUCUGCGGGGCCCAUCCCGUAAGGCUAAAUACUACCGAGAGACCGAUAGCGAACCAGUACCGUGAGGGAAAGGUGAAAAGAACCUCGAACAGAGGAGUGAAAAAGACCCUGAAAUCAUGUGCCUACAAGCGGUCGGAGCCACUACGUGUGGUGACGGCGUGCCUUUUGCAUAAUGAACCUACGAGUCACCCGCGCCGGCGAGGCUAAGGGCAGUGAUGCCCGGAGCCGAAGCGAAAGCGAGUCGGAACACGGCGCCGUUAGUCGGCGCGGGUGGACGCGAAACCAAGUGAUCUACCCUUGGGCAGGCUGAAGACGGGGUAACACCCGUUGGAGGGCCGAACCGGUAAGCGUUGAAAAGCUUUCGGAUGACCUGAGGGUAGGAGUGAAAGGCCAAUCAAACUUGGAGAUAGCUCGUACUCCCCGAAAUGCAUUUAGGUGCAGCCUCGGGUGUUAUACCGCGGAGGUAGAGCGACUGAUAGGAUGCGAGGGCUUCACCGCCUAUCAAGUCCUGACAAACUCCGAAUGCCGCGGCAUGAAUCCCGGGAGUGAGGGCGCGGGUGCUAAGGUCCGCGUCCGAGAGAGGAACAACUCAGACCAUCGGCUAAGGCCCCCAAAUGCGGGCUAAGUUGAAGACCAUAACGAGGUGGGAUUGCAAGGACAGCUAGGAUGUUGGCUUGGAAGCAGCCAUUCAUUUAAAGAGUGCGUAACAGCUCACUAGUCGAGUGAUCCCGCAUGGAUAAUACGCGGGCAUAAGCCGGCUGCCGAAGCCAUGGAACGGUGGGCUGGACCCACAGUUGGUAGGGGAGCAUUCCGUAGCCCUGUGAAGGUGUGGCGCGAGCCAUGCUGGAGGGAUCGGAAAAGCAAAUGUAGGUAUAAGUAACGAUAAGGAGGGCGCGAAACCCUCCCGCCGAAAGACCAAGGGUUCCUGAUCAACGCUAAUCGGAUCAGGGUAAGUCGGGGCCUAAGGAGCAGCCGCAAGGCGGAUCCGAUGGACAAACGGUAAAAAUUCCGUUACCCCUGUUGCGAGCGAUGUGGUGACGGAGGAGUGGAAAUCCCGCGCACUGACGGAAUAGUGCGUUAAACCGUGUAGCUUUAUGUUCUCCAGGCAAAUCCGGAGGACUUGUGAAUCGGGACAGUACCGCGAGCCCCCGGGCGAGCGGAGAGCGGAUGGAAACAUACUCCCAAGAAAACCCGCUAAGCAUAUCGUAACAGGGCCCGUACCGCAAACCGACACAGGUGGUCGGGUAGAAGAUACCGAGGCGCUCGAGUGAUUCACGGUUAAGGAACUAGGCAAAUUGACCCCGUAACUUCGGGAUAAGGGGUCCCUCCUGUAUGGGAGGGCGCAGAGAAUAGGUCCAGGCAACUGUUUAACAAAAACACAGGGCUGUGCGAAGUUUAAUGAUGAAGCAUACAGCCUGACACCUGCCCGGUGCCGGAAGGUUAAGAGGAGAGGUCAUCGCAAGAGAAGCCUUGAAUUGAAGCCCCGGUAAACGGCGGCCGUAACUAUAACGGUCCUAAGGUAGCGAAAUUCCUUGUCGGGUAAGUUCCGACCUGCACGAAUGGUGUAAUGAUCUGGACACUGUCUCAACCGUGAGCUCGGUGAAAUUGUAGUAUCGGUGAAGAUGCCGAUUACCCGCAACGGGACGGAAAGACCCCGUGAACCUUUACUGCAGCUUAGCAUUGGGACCGGGUGCGCGAUGUGUAGGAUAGUCAGGAGGCUGUGAGACGGUGACGCCAGUCAUCGUGGAGCCGUUGUUGAAAUACUGACCUUUGCGCAUUUGGUUUCUAACUCGCGAUGCGAGGACAUUGCUUGGUGGGUAGUUUGACUGGGGUGGUCGCCUCCAAAAGCGUAACGGAGGCUUCUAAAGGUGCGCUCAGGCCGAUUGGUAACCGGCCGCAGAGUGUAAUGGCACAAGCGCGCUUGACUGGGAGACCGACAAGUCGAUCAGGUAGGAAACUAGAGCAUAGUGAUCCGGUGGUUCCGUAUGGAAGGGCCAUCGCUCAAAGGAUAAAAGGUACUCCGGGGAUAACAGGCUGAUCCCUCCCAAGAGCUCAUAUCGACGGAGUGGUUUGGCACCUCGAUGUCGGCUCGUCACAUCCCGGGGCUGGAGAAGGUCCCAAGGGUUAGGCUGUUCGCCUAUUAAAGUGGCACGCGAGCUGGGUUCAGAACGUCGUGAGACAGUUCGGUCCCUAUCUGUUGUGGGCGCAGGAAAUUUGCGAGGACCCGACACUAGUACGAGAGGACCGUGUUGGACAGACCUCCGGUGUGCCGGUUGUUCCGCCAGGAGCACCGCCGGGUAGCCGCGUCUGGCAAGGAUAAGUGCUGAAAGCAUCUAAGCACGAAGCCCCCCUCAAGAUAAGAUUUCCACACAAGGGUCGUCAGAGACGAUGACGUCGAUAGGUCGCAGGUGCAGGGACGGUGACGUCCACAGCCGAGCGAUACUAAUCACCCGAACCCUUUCCGCA